AGUAAAAUCCAUCGAAUCAGCCUUGGUUUUGCCUUCUUGUUCAAAAGGUACCGAAUGGCAGCAUGAUCUGUGAAUACAAUGACUUUUGACCCAAUUAAGUAGGAUCUGAAUUUGUCAAUUGCAAACACUAUUGCUAGGAAUUCCUUUUCUUUGGUAGUAUAAUUGAUUUGUGCGUCGUCGAGUAUCUUGCUGGCGUAAUAAAUGGC
RNAcentral lists this unclassified non-coding RNA (206 nucleotides) under Hevea brasiliensis (rubber tree). Lineage: Eukaryota; Viridiplantae; Streptophyta; Magnoliopsida; Malpighiales; Euphorbiaceae. The record is from RNAcentral.